GACUUAGCUCAGUUGGUAGAGCAUCUGAUUUGUAAUCAGAGGGUCGGGCGUUCGAAUCGUCUAGUCGGCA
RNAcentral lists this transfer RNA (70 nucleotides) under Loigolactobacillus coryniformis subsp. coryniformis. Its description in RNAcentral is "Lactobacillus coryniformis subsp. coryniformis tRNA-Thr". It matches the Rfam family "tRNA". Rfam says of the family: Transfer RNA (tRNA) molecules are approximately 80 nucleotides in length. Their secondary structure includes four short double-helical elements and three loops (D, anti-codon, and T loops). Lineage: Bacteria; Bacillati; Bacillota; Bacilli; Lactobacillales; Lactobacillaceae. The record is from RNAcentral.